CUGAAAGGCAAAUCUGUCUCUUAAACUUCCCCAGAGAGAUCUUUCAGGGAGAGCUAAUAUCUGUAGCUAUUUUGGGAAGGUCACCUAUUAAACAAGAACCUUGUGUGCUGAAUUCAUUUGGGGCUAGCACUCAAGGUCGUGGACAUCCAUGAAUCAAAAUGUUCCCGAAUGUGGAUUGUCUGCAGCCAGUUGGAAUCUGGUGGAAUUUCUUCAGGAACUGGAACACCAUCCUUAUCCCUACAGCCUCCACUGAUGUCACAAAACUCUACAAAGGAGCCCUCCAAUGGAUCUCAAAUCUUUCCAUACAUUUGAAUGGCAGAUCCAUUUUAUUCCAAGGAAUGUUCUCAGGAGCAGAGAUGUGUGGCCCAGAGGCUCACAUAUUCUUUUCUGGUUGGUGGUUGUGAAAUGCACGGUGUGGUGGUAAAGGUCCAGGAGCCUGGCAUUUCUUGAAUUUGGACUUGGGCCAGAUGAACAAAAGUGAAGUGGUGGCAAAGUGCUGGACCAGAUGUUAGAAGUCUCCAAUUUGCUCUCGACAACAACAAUCCACAAGUAACCCUGAGAAAAGUCAUCUCUGUUUCCCCACUGGUAAAUAAUGGUAAGAAAAAUAGUGCCUAGUGGGGCUUACGUAGAGGACUGGGAAGCUGAACUGUGAAAAAUGAUUCCAAGGUUUCUGGUCACCAUGGCUACUACUCUUUUGUACCCAGUUCUUUGCUCCUCAAGGAGCCUUGUUUUCUAUACUUGUGAAUAUUUC
Molecule: long non-coding RNA, 751 nt
Filed under: Homo sapiens (human)
Lineage: Eukaryota; Metazoa; Chordata; Mammalia; Primates; Hominidae
Description: HSALNT0298341
Source: RNAcentral